CGUGUAGACACAAAGGUCUUCGACACAUGUGCAUUACAGGCUGCAAGGCAAGACGGAAAUAUGUCUGCAAAGAAACGCAGCACAGGCGAUUUCGAAGCAACUAGCAAGUUGCUCCUGGCGGCCCUCUUGCUUCUGUGGAUACUCUGGAUAAUGUUCGGCUACCGGAGCAACCUGGUGCGGCGGGCUGAACGUGAACACAUUGAAAUUGUGCACCCUCAUGCACGGACACCGCCACCGCAAAUCGGUCCGGAGAGUCAAGUGACCAAAAUGACCACUGUGAAAGAAAGUAACGACGCGUCCG
Long non-coding RNA from Rhipicephalus microplus (southern cattle tick), 301 nucleotides. Lineage: Eukaryota; Metazoa; Arthropoda; Arachnida; Ixodida; Ixodidae. The record is from RefSeq and is a predicted model, not a curated record.